GGACUACCCGGGUAUCUAAUCCCGUUCGCUCCCCUGGCUUUCGCGUCUCAGCGUCAGGCGGCGUCCAGGACCGCGCUUUCGCCACGGGCGUUCCUUCCGAUCUCAACGCAUUUCACCGCUCCACCGGAAGUUCCCGGUCCCCCUACGCCCCUCCAGAAGGGUCGUUGCGGCGCCCGUUCCCCGGUUGAGCCGGGGGAUUUCAGCGGCCGCCGUGCCCUCCCGCCUACACGCGCUUUAAGCCCAGUGAUUCCGAAUAACGUUCGCACGGUUCGUCUUACCGCGGCGGCUGGCAC
RNAcentral lists this ribosomal RNA (293 nucleotides) under uncultured bacterium. RNAcentral's name for it is "partial 16S ribosomal RNA". The record is from RNAcentral. RNAcentral also lists the same sequence under 2 other names.